Molecule: ribosomal RNA, 665 nt
Filed under: Hepatozoon canis
Lineage: Eukaryota; Apicomplexa; Hepatozoidae
Description: SSU rRNA
Rfam family: Eukaryotic small subunit ribosomal RNA
Source: RNAcentral
AUACAUGAGCAAAAUCUCAACUUUAUUAGAAGAGACGCAUUUAUUAGAUAAAAAGCCAGUUCAUGCUUUUACAGUAUGAAAAUUGGUGAUUUAUAAUAACUUAGCAAAUCGCAAAGUGAAAACAGGCGAUAAAUCAUUCAAGUUUCUGACCUAUCAGCUUUCGACGGUAUGGUAUUGGCUUACCGUGGCAGUGACGGUUAACGGGGGAUUAGGGUUCGAUUCCGGAGAGGGAGCCUGAGAAACGGCUACCACAUCUAAGGAAGGCAGCAGGCGCGCAAAUUACCCAAUUCUAACAGUUUGAGAGAGGUAGUAACAAGAAAUAACAAUACAAGGCAGUUAAAAUGCUUUGUAAUUGGAAUGAUAGAAAUUUAAACCCUUUUUAAAGUAUCAAUUGGAGGGCAAGUCUGGUGCCAGCAGCCGCGGUAAUUCCAGCUCCAAUAGCGUAUAUUAAAAUUGUUGCAGUUAAAAAGCUCGUAGUUGAAGUUCUGCUGAAAGUAACCGGUCUGCUUUUAAUAAAAGUGGUAUCUUGGUAUGUAUUUAGCAAUGAUGUCCUUUGAAGUGUUUUUUACUUUAUUGUAAUAAAGCAUAUUCAGGACUUUUACUUUGAGAAAAUUAGAGUGUUUCUAGCAGGCUGACGCUUUGAAUACUGCAGCAUGGAAUAAUAA